GCCCGUGUAGCUCAGUUGGUAGAACAUCAGAGUUUUAAUCUGAGGGUCGUAUGUUCAAGUCCCACGGUGGGCA
This 73-nucleotide transfer RNA is filed under the name Enterobius vermicularis (human pinworm). It matches the Rfam family "tRNA". Rfam says of the family: Transfer RNA (tRNA) molecules are approximately 80 nucleotides in length. Their secondary structure includes four short double-helical elements and three loops (D, anti-codon, and T loops). Lineage: Eukaryota; Metazoa; Nematoda; Chromadorea; Rhabditida; Oxyuridae. The record is from Rfam by way of RNAcentral.